Molecule: ribosomal RNA, 461 nt
Filed under: uncultured bacterium
Lineage: Bacteria
Description: bacterial SSU rRNA
Rfam family: Bacterial small subunit ribosomal RNA
Source: RNAcentral
GAUGAACGCUGGCGGCGUGCCUAAUACAUGCAAGUCGAACGAAGAACCUUCGGGUUCUUAGUGGCGAACGGGUGAGUAAUACAUAAGCAACCUGCCCCUAUGUCUGGGAUAACUAUUGGAAACGAUAGCUAAUACCGGAUACGAGUAUCUCUGGCAUCUGAGAUAUUUAAAAGAUGGGUUACAUCGCAAAGGGAUGGGCUUAUGGCGCAUUAGCUAGUUGGUGAGGUAACGGCUCACCAAGGCGAUGAUGCGUAGCCGAUUUGAGAGGAUGAACGGCCACAUUGGGACUGAGAUACGGCCCAGACUCCUACGGGAGGCAGCAGUGGGGAAUAUUGGGCAAUGGGGGAAACCCUGACCCAGCAACGCCGCGUGAAGGAAGAAGGCCUUCGGGUUGUAAACUUCUUUUAGCAGGGACGAAGGACGUGACGGUACCUGCAGAAAAAGCAACGGCUAACUACGUG